CAGCAGCCGCGGGAAUACGUAGGGUGCGAGCGUUAAUCGGAAUUACUGGGCGUAAAGCGUGCGCAGGCGGUUCGUUAAGACAGAUGUGAAAUCCCCGGGCUUAACCUGGGAACUGCAUUCGUGACUGGCGAGCUAGAGUAUGGCAGAGGGGGGUAGAAUUCCACGUGAAGCAGUGAAAUGCGUAGAGAUGUGGAGGAAUACCGAUGGCGAAGGCAGCCCCCUGGGCCAAUACUGACGCUCAUGCACGAAAGCGUGGGGAGCAAACAGGAUUAGAUACCCCCGUAGUCCCUGUCUCUUAUAA
RNAcentral lists this ribosomal RNA (301 nucleotides) under uncultured bacterium. RNAcentral describes it as "partial 16S ribosomal RNA". It matches the Rfam family "Bacterial small subunit ribosomal RNA", at positions 509 to 809 of the family's 1533-position model. The record is from RNAcentral.